This 253-nucleotide ribosomal RNA is filed under the name uncultured bacterium. RNAcentral's name for it is "partial 16S ribosomal RNA". It matches the Rfam family "Bacterial small subunit ribosomal RNA", at positions 524 to 776 of the family's 1533-position model. The record is from RNAcentral.
UACGUAGGGUGCAAGCGUUGUCCGGAAUUAUUGGGCGUAAAGAGCUCGUAGGCGGUUUGUCGCGUCGGCUGUGAAAACCUGGGGCUUAACUCCGGGCCUGCAGCCGAUACGGGCAGACUAGAGUUCGGCAGGGGAGACUGGAAUUCCUGGUGUAGCGGUGAAAUGCGCAGAUAUCAGGAGGAACACCGAUGGCGAAGGCAGGUCUCUGGGCAUUAACUGACGCUGAGGAGCGAAAGCAUGGGGAGCGAACAGG